Unclassified non-coding RNA from Papio anubis (olive baboon), 147 nucleotides. It matches the Rfam family "Metazoan signal recognition particle RNA". Rfam says of the family: The signal recognition particle (SRP) is a universally conserved ribonucleoprotein. It is involved in the co-translational targeting of proteins to membranes. The eukaryotic SRP consists of a 300-nucleotide 7S RNA and six proteins: SRPs 72, 68, 54, 19, 14, and 9. Lineage: Eukaryota; Metazoa; Chordata; Mammalia; Primates; Cercopithecidae. The record is from Ensembl.
GCUGGGCAUGGUGGUGCAUGCCUAUAAUCCCAGUACUCAGGAGGCUGAGGCAGGAGGAUCACUUGAGCCCUGGAGGUGGAGGCUGCAGUGAGCCAUGAUCGGACCACUGCACUCUAGCCUGGGUGACAGAGUGAGAACCUGUCUCAA